This 520-nucleotide ribosomal RNA is filed under the name uncultured Glomus. RNAcentral describes it as "SSU rRNA". It matches the Rfam family "Eukaryotic small subunit ribosomal RNA", at positions 569 to 1091 of the family's 1831-position model. The record is from RNAcentral. Lineage: Eukaryota; Fungi; Glomeromycota; Glomeromycetes; Glomerales; Glomeraceae.
AGCAGCCGCGGUAAUUCCAGCUCCAAUAGCGUAUAUUAAAGUUGUUGCAGUUAAAAAGCUCGUAGUUGAAUUUCGGGGUUAGUAGGUUGGUCAUGCCACUGGUAUGUACUGGUCUCACUGAUUCCUCCUUCCUGAUGAGCCGUAAUGCCAUUAAUUUGGUGUUGCGAGGAAUCUGGACUGUUACUUUGAAAAAAUUAGAGUGUUUAAAGCAGGCUAACGCUUGAAUACAUUAGCAUGGAAUAAUGAAAUAGGACGUUCGAUCUUAUUUUGUUGGUUUCUAGGAUUGACGUAAUGAUUAAUAGGGAUAGUUGGGGGCGUUAGUAUUCAAUUGUCAGAGGUGAAAUUCUUGGAUUUAUUGAAGACUAACUACUGCGAAAGCAUUUGCCAAGGAUGUUUUCAUUAAUUAAGAACGAAAGUUAGGGGAUCGAAGACGAUCAGAUACCGUCGUAGUCUUAACCAUAAACUAUGCCGACUAGGGAUCGGAUGAUGUUAAUUUUUAAUAACUCAUUCGGCGCCUUAC